AUGGGGAGGCGGAAGGAGCGCCGCCUGGCGGCCAAGGCGGCCUCGGGCCGCAGGGUCAAGCUCGACCUCUUCCUCGAUCCUUCCCCCGGGGAGGCAUCUAUGAAAGAGGGAGUAGGAGAGGAAAACCGUGGGCAGCAAACUGGUGUUCCCACUUCACCAUCUUCGUCAGAUAAGAAGGAAAAUCCUCUAGCGUUGCUUGGGCAAUAUAGUGAUGAUGAAGAAGAGGAUGAAGUAGCAACAGAUCAACCCAUUGGUGAAACUAAGGGGAGCCCAACAGAUGCAAGUGCUGAGGUUAUUCAUGAUCAGGGUGAUAUAACUGGGGAUAACGGCGAUGCAGAUAGUGAACUGCCUGCUUCUGUUAGUGUUCAGCAGGAGGUAUCUCAAGCUGAUGAUGUCAAAAUUAUCACAGAAACCGUUGCUCAGGAAUUUACUGUUGCCCCUGAUCCAACUCUGGAAAAUGAGUGUGUGACAGCAAUGGAAGCUGUCCCAGAUUCAUCUGGCAUGCAAAUUGUUGGUGACAUUGGUGGGAAUUGGAAGGCUAUAAUGCAUGAACAGAGUAAUCAGUGCUACUACUGGAACACAGUUACAGGAGAAACUUCUUGGGAGAUUCCUAAUGGAUUAGCUUCAGUAGUUGCUGCCGAUGGAGUCACUUCUGCAUCUGUGCCUACUCAUAUGGGGUACUCUGUCGAAGCUCAAGCACAUGUCCUUCCCCACAGUAAUGUCGAAGCAUAUCCUAGUGACGUGUCUGUUGGAAAUGGCACAGCAACCUAUACUGCUAUGGGAACUUAUACUCAUGAUCCUUAUGCUUACACUGGAGCCGUUGCUAGUCAUGAGACAGUGGACAUUGACCCCUUGCAGCUUGCAAAAUAUGGUGAGGAUUUACUGCAAAGACUGAAGCUGCUGGAAAGGCCACAUGUUGCCAUUGACAGUCUUGAGUUGAUAAAAAGAGAAAUUGAGAUACGAAUAGCAGACUGUAAUGCCCUCUCCUCGUAUGGAUCUUCUUUACUUCCGUUGUGGUUGCAUGCUGAGGUGCACCUUAAGCAACUAGAACUUUCAGUUUCCAAGUUUGAAGCUAGCUACACCACCAAACAUGGAUAUCGGGAGACAGUGGAUGCAGGACACAAAGCACCUAAUGAAGCUGAAGUUAUGGCACCCUCUGAGGGUGAGCAUUUGAAGGUUGAUGUUAGCACUCUGGGAAUAGGUACUGGCGAUGAAAAUAUUAAGGUUGAGGAACCAUGUACAACAUCAUCUGUUCAGAACUCACAAGGUGUGGCAGCAGCUAUUUUAAGAGUUGAAUCAGAUAGUGAUGAAGAUAUGGACGUGGAAAUGGAGGUCGAUGAAGAAGGUGUUGAAGAGCAGGGCGGUUCCACUUCUAUGGCAAAUAAGGAGCAUCCUUCAUCAGAGCAAGUGCGAUCACCAGCUUUGUCAUCAUUGGAGGAUUCUGCUCCUCCCCCACAGGAUAAUGACAUUCCUCCACCACCACCACCAGAAGAGGAAUGGAUUCCACCUCCACCACCUGAGAAUGAACCAGCUCCUCCACCUCCUCCUGAGCCUGAAGAGCCCGCUGUGUCAUUUGUUAAUGCUGAUACACUUCCUCAGCCAUAUGGAGAUCAAGCAAACUUGGGUUAUACGCUUCCAGGAAUGGAGUACUAUCCUGCUGCUGGUACAGAUGGCACCAAUGCCAACUACUAUAUGCAAGCAAGCGAUUCUCAUAUUCUUCAAUCACAGCAGCAUUCUUACUAUGCACCAUUGUCUGCAAGUGGCGUAUCUAUUCCUGUUGAGACCACAUCCAUCCCCCCAGUACCAGGUUCUUAUUAUAGCUAUCCUUCCGUCACUAUGGCUGCCACUGAAGUAGCGGCUGAAUCUUCUGGAUACUAUGCUUCAUCAACCUCUGCCAUUUCUAGUGGUGAAUUAGAUAACAAAACAAGCUUGGCCUCCCUUGUUGCAAAUAGUAAUGUGAAUACUGUGGAGUCUGAUAAAGUGAUAUCCAAGGAGCCCACAGUUGCGUCUUUGAGCCAAUCAGUAGGAGCAGUAUCUUCAGGACCAACAGUACAUGGAAGUUCUACUCAAGCUUCUACUAGCUCCACUAAUCAGACUAAAGUUCCUCGUACUAAGAAGCGACCUGUUGCUGUUGCAUCAUCACUGAGAUCUAAUAAGAAGGUCUCAAGUCUGGUGGAUAAGGCAGAGCAAUCUGUUUACAUGUGGAAAGCUGCAAAGGAGGAGCUUCGUGAUGAAGAGGAAGAGGAGCCUGAAGAUGCUUUGGAGUACCUAGAAAGGAAACGCCGGAAGGAAAUAGAUGGGUGGCGUAAGCAACAAAUAGCUAGUGGAGAAGCCAAGGAAAAUGCUAAUUUUGUUCCCCUUGGUGGUGACUGGCGUGACCGUGUAAAACGCAAAAGAGCUGAAGCAAAGAAGGAAGCAAAGACUGAACCUAUUCGUGCAGCUGCCGAACAACACAAAGGGGAGCCUGAUCUCUCAGAGCUCUCCAAGGGUUUUCCUUCUGGGUGGCAGGCAUACAUAGACGAGUCUACGAAGCAAGUGUACUAUGGGAACAACCUCACUUCCGAGACGACUUGGGAUCGGCCUAGCAAAUAA
This 2592-nucleotide ribosomal RNA is filed under the name Triticum aestivum (bread wheat). Its description in RNAcentral is "partial small subunit ribosomal RNA". Lineage: Eukaryota; Viridiplantae; Streptophyta; Magnoliopsida; Poales; Poaceae. The record is from RNAcentral.